AAACAUUUACCAUGAAAGCCCAUAGGAAGCCAUAUUAGUUGACUGUCUUUGGUGCUAACGGAGUCAAUAAAUAUUUGACAGUCAUUUUGAAGCUUUCAUACCCCCAUGGAUAGCUGUUAAACGCCUCAAGAUCCUCGGAGAGCUUUAUUAAACCGAGGCUUAUGUUGUUGUUAACGUCUCUCGCCCAAAUUAUAUUAUGUAAAAAC
This 206-nucleotide long non-coding RNA is filed under the name Capsicum annuum. RNAcentral describes it as "long non-coding RNA (CANN_LNC022178)". Lineage: Eukaryota; Viridiplantae; Streptophyta; Magnoliopsida; Solanales; Solanaceae. The record is from RNAcentral.